Molecule: long non-coding RNA, 279 nt
Organism: Sinocyclocheilus anshuiensis
Lineage: Eukaryota; Metazoa; Chordata; Actinopteri; Cypriniformes; Cyprinidae
Exons: 3
Source: RefSeq, a predicted model, not a curated record
AGUGAAGAGAAUGUACUGCGAUGGCUAGCUGCUCAAGUUGACACCUCCAAGAAUUCCUGACCGAAAUGAUUAGUGGCAUAGAGACCCGGCUCUUUGAAGGAGAGGAUGGUAAAGGAAAAAUGCCAAAGUACUCGUUAAAUGACCUUGACAAUGGCCUGUUUCGAGUUGCUGGGGAAAUCUUUGCCGUAAGUCUCGCGCAAGGUGGUCCAGCUCCACGAUUUCUACAGGAGUGGUGUUACAAUAACCUCUUAAGUGGAAACCUUGAAAACAUCACGAUGG